UACGUAGGUGACAAGCGUUGUCCGGAUUUACUGGGCGUAAAGAGCGCGCAGGCGGUCGUUCAAGUCGAGUGUGAAAGCCCCCGGCUCAACUGGGGAGGGUCAUUCGAUACUGAUCGACUCGAAGGCAGGAGAGGGUAGUGGAAUUCCCGGUGUAGUGGUGAAAUGCGUAGAUAUCUGGAGGAACACCGGUGGCGAAGGCGGCAUCCUGGACUACUACUGACGCUGAGGAGCGAAAGCCAGGGGAGCAAACGGG
RNAcentral lists this ribosomal RNA (253 nucleotides) under uncultured bacterium. Its description in RNAcentral is "partial 16S ribosomal RNA". It matches the Rfam family "Bacterial small subunit ribosomal RNA", at positions 524 to 776 of the family's 1533-position model. The record is from RNAcentral.